RNAcentral lists this ribosomal RNA (897 nucleotides) under uncultured eukaryote. RNAcentral's name for it is "SSU rRNA". It matches the Rfam family "Eukaryotic small subunit ribosomal RNA", at positions 558 to 1476 of the family's 1831-position model. The record is from RNAcentral.
AUUCGCCCUUGUGCCAGCAGCCGCGGUAAUUCCAGCUCCAAUAGCGUAUAUUAAAGUUGUUGCGGUAAAAAAGCUCGUAGUUGGAUUUCUGUUGAAGACGUCCGGUCCAUACCACGUAUGCGCAUCUGGCUCGGCUUCGGCAUCCUCUCGAAAGACGUUUCUGCGCUUGAUUGCGUGGAGCGGAUCUCGGGACUUUUACUUUGAGGAAAUUAGAGUGUUCACGGCAGGCUAUCGCCAGAAUACAUUAGCAUGGAAUAAUACUAUAGGAUCUCGGUUCUAUUUUGUUGGUUUCUAGAAUUGAGAUAAUGAUUAAUAGGGACAAUUGGGGGCAUUCGUAUCAACACGUUAGAGGUGAAAUUCUUGGAUCGUGUUGCGACGAACUACUGCGAAAGCAUUUGCCAAGGAUGUUUUCAUUGAUCAAGAACGAAAGUAAGGGGAUCGAAGACGAUUAGAUACCGUCGUAGUCUUUACCAUAAACUAUGCCAACUAGAGAUGGGACAUCGUUCACUUAAGACUUGUUCCGCACCUUAUGAGAUAUCAAAGUCUUUGGGUUCCGGGGGGAGUAUGGUCGCAAGUCUGAAACUUAAAGGAAUUGACGGAAGGGCACCACCAGGAGUGGAGCCUGCGGCUUAAUUUGACUCAACACGGGGAAACUCACCAGGUCCAGACAUAAUAAGGAUUGACAGAUUGAUAGCUCUUUCUUGAUUUUAUGGGUGGUGGUGCAUGGCCGUUCUUAGUUCGUGGAGUGAUUUGUCUGCUUAGUUGCGUUAACGAACGAGACCUUAACCUGCUAAAUAGGAGCGCCUAUCUCCGGAUAAGCGCCUUUCUUCUUAGAGGGACUUUAUGCGUUUCAGCAUGAGGAAGUUUGAGGCUAAAACAGGUCUGUGAUGCCCAAGG